Molecule: ribosomal RNA, 495 nt
Filed under: uncultured bacterium
Lineage: Bacteria
Description: bacterial SSU rRNA
Rfam family: Bacterial small subunit ribosomal RNA
Source: RNAcentral
UAGUCCACGCCCUAAACGAUGCUCACUCGGUAUUGGCGAUAUAUUGUCAGUGCCUAAGGGAAACCAUUAAGUGAGCCACCUGGGGAGUACGUUCGCAAGAAUGAAACUCAAAGGAAUUGACGGGGAUCCGCACAAGCGGUGGAGCAUGUGGUUUAAUUCGAUGAUACGCGAGGAACCUUACCUAGGCUCUAAUGCCUCUGCUACCCCUUGAAAGAGGGGGUUCCUUCGGGACAGAGUGCAAGGUGCUGCAUGGUUGUCGUCAGCUCGUGCCGUGAGGUGUUGGGUUAAGUCCCGCGACGAGCGCAACCCCUAUUGUUAGUCGCCAGCAAGUAAUGUUGGGGACUCUAGCAAGACUGCCGGCGUAAGCCGCGAGGAAGGUGGGGAUGACGUCAAAUCAUCAUGGCCUUUAUGCCUAGGGCGACACACGUGCUACAAUGGUGCAUACAGAGGGUUGCGAAGCCGCGAGGUGGAGCUAAUCUCAGAAAGUGCAUCCCG